GGAGUAUAAUAUUAAAUUUGAGAAGUAUUAAAUAUAGAUAAACAAUGAAAGUACAAUUUUGUUUACCAAAUUGACUGACCAUUAGAGAAGCUGAAUCAUCAUAAGUACAUUAAUGACAAUAAGUUAUGAGCUGGAAGGAGAUACCGUGUGAUGGAUGGAAAUUGAGCUGUAACAGAGAGUUUCUCCUCAAUUUCCCUUCUCUUCUUACUGUCAUGUACUUUCACUUUCAUUCUCUCUAUAAAUAUAUCUCAACUUGUUCAACUUGUUUUUUGUCUCACUCAUAAUCUUCUUUCACAUAGUUACCUAUUACAAGCCAUUCACUUUAUGUGUACAUGAAAUUUAACACCUUGUUUUGCAUGUUUGCUACUCUACUCUUCACUGUUCUGUUCUAGUCACACCGCAAAAUCAAAUCCUUCAUUUUAAACACUACUGUACUAGAAAUCUCAACUAUGAAGCACAAGUACUCCUUGGAUUAGGGUUGUCCUGGUGUCGGAUACGCCUGGGUGUCCGACACUGACACCGACACAACACCUAUAGUUACAUUGAAUUAUGUCAUUUUCUCAAAUUAUUAUCCGUGUCGUGUCUAGUGUUCGUGUUUGUGUAUGUGCUUCAUAGGUUCUCAAUAUGCAUAUUGCAUACACACAUGCACUUUCACUCUAUAUUCUUUUUCAUACUUGAAACUAGUUCAUAUGAUGGUCUUUUCCAUUCUUUGUUUGAUCAUUCCUUUUAAAUGAUCAUUAUGUGAGUACAUGUUCAAAAAUUUCUUAAAGAAUGAAACAAUAUUUUAAAAAACUGAACUAGACCUUUCAACAAGUCGAGCUAUGAUUUGGAGGUCUCGUUGAUUCAGUGUCUAGUUCGGUUUUUAAAACAUUGGAUUGAACAUUAAUAGAAAAUUGAUAUGAAACAUUUUAUUUUAAGGUCAGUCCAUGGAAUCAGAUGUUUGAAGUAACUACUGGGGUUUGAAUUAAGGAUUCAAUCAAUGAAGUACUUGAACAGAACAAUGAAGAGAAAAGGAGCACACAAACAAAACAUGGUGCUUAUUUCUAACUUUAGUAUUUAAUGUGAGUGGCUGGUAAUAGUUGAAUAUGUAAGAAGAAAAAUUGGUGGUAUGUGAAGUUAUCUCAGCAAAGUUUCUCCAGUGACAAACCAUGAUCAGAAGUAAAAAGGGUCGUAUCUCAUGCAAUGCAAAGCAGGACUCUCAACAGAUAAUUUAUCAGGAAAGAUCAUCUGAAAUAUGAAUUAGCUUAUGUUUGGAAUCCAUCUUCUUCGCAGACGUGUCAUGUCUCAAUGUCAUUCUAGGGUGACAUUAAAAAGCUACAAACAUGAUCUUCAAGCAUGCCGCGCGUUCAAGAUCUAUUCACUGUGUAAAGAAAACAAACAUGCACUUUUUUGUAUUGCAUCUUGUCAUAUUGAUCACCUAUGCUUGAACCAAAGCACUUGGUGCAAUAAGGACAUUCCAUAAAUACUUUUUUUAUUGGUGGUGUAUUCCAUAAAUAGUUUAAUUUUAAGCAGAAGUCCUUGAAGAUUCAAGUUAAUUUUCUGCUAUAAAUUAUGUACUAGUUGAAGAUACAUCAUUGUUAAUUGUGCCAGUUUUGAAAUGCUGAACUAAAUUCCAUUUAUUAAGUGUUACCAUGGUGAUAGUAAAAUGCUUCCCAGAUCCCGAUUUUUUCUGUCUCCAAAGUCAGGGUCUCAUUUCUUUGCAAAAAGAAUUUUAGGAAUAUUUAAACUAAUUUGGUUCAUUCAUGUGACACUUUGCCUAAAAGCAUGUUAGAAGCUGCUCAUUGAACAUGCCUCCUGAACCGGAAAUCACUCCCCACCCUCAUCCUCGGGCUUCACACAAUGAAAUGUACCCCAUCUACAUUUUAGGUUCUGUUAUUCACUUAUUCUUCCAUCUGGUUCAUUAAAGAAUUAAAAAAUCUAUGUAUGAAUACUGAUACAAAGUUUAACUGACAAA
This is a long non-coding RNA of Medicago truncatula (barrel medic), 1954 nucleotides long. RefSeq lists it as uncharacterized. NCBI's taxonomy places the organism in Eukaryota, Viridiplantae, Streptophyta, Magnoliopsida, Fabales, Fabaceae. The transcript has 3 exons. The record is from RefSeq and is a predicted model, not a curated record.